GUCCCCAUCGUCUAGAGGCCUAGGACUCCGGCCUCUCACGCCGGCAACAGGGGUUCGAAUCCCCUUGGGGACGCCA
RNAcentral lists this transfer RNA (76 nucleotides) under Magnetococcales bacterium. RNAcentral describes it as "tRNA-Glu". It matches the Rfam family "tRNA". Rfam says of the family: Transfer RNA (tRNA) molecules are approximately 80 nucleotides in length. Their secondary structure includes four short double-helical elements and three loops (D, anti-codon, and T loops). The record is from RNAcentral. Lineage: Bacteria; Pseudomonadati; Pseudomonadota; Magnetococcia; Magnetococcales.